Molecule: ribosomal RNA, 303 nt
Filed under: uncultured soil bacterium
Lineage: Bacteria
Description: bacterial SSU rRNA
Rfam family: Bacterial small subunit ribosomal RNA
Source: RNAcentral
AGAUUGAACGCUGGCGGCAUGCCUAACACAUGCAAGUCGAACGGGAGUAGCAAUACUCUAGUGGCGGACGGGUGAGGAAUACGUAGGAAUUUGCCCUUAAGUGGGGGAUAACCCGGGGAAACCCGGAUUAAUACCGCAUGACCUCGAAAGAGCAAAGUGGGGGAUCGCAAGACCUCACGCUUUUGGAGAAGCCUACGUCGGAUUAGCUAGUUGGUGAGGUAAUGGCUCACCAAGGCGACGAUCCGUAACUGGUCUGAGAGGAUGAUCAGUCACACCGGAACUGAGUACGACGGUCCGGACUCC